Papaver somniferum (opium poppy) is the source of this 664-nucleotide RNA transcript. RefSeq lists it as uncharacterized. Lineage: Eukaryota; Viridiplantae; Streptophyta; Magnoliopsida; Ranunculales; Papaveraceae. The record is from RefSeq and is a predicted model, not a curated record. The transcript has 3 exons.
GAAACUCUCCAGCUGCCUCCGCCCAAUUUUCUAUAAAACGGACACCUACGGUUCAAUUUUCUAAGGCAGGAGAAAAAAUGGGCGCUGAAGAAGAGAAACUGGAGGUGAAACUAGAGGAAGAAGAGCAAUCACGUCCCAAUAGAAACCCUAACCCUAAUUCCAUCUCUCAAGAUCAGUUCCUAUCCUGGAAGCGACACAAGGAAGUUGGUGAUUCUUCAAGAAAAGAAGAAGCUGCUAGAAAGCGAGCAGAAGAUGUUAUUGCAGGAACUGUACCAAUGAAUGGUCGGGAACUCUUUUUGCAUGAACCUUGGGUAUUUGACAACUCUCGAUAUUAAUCCAGGAGCGUAUUGAGUUGUAUAUGCCCAUGCUGCAUAUGUUGUGCUGGAAUUGCUAACUUUGCUGUAUCACUCGUCAAACUUCCGUUCAGUAUCAUCAGAUGGUUCAUUGAUCAGAUCCCUUGUUAACAUACACCCAGUCCAAUUAUCUUCGUUCCGGAUAUGAUGCUGAUUUUACUAAUUUCAAUUUUUGUUCCUUUUAUUGUCACUAGUAUAGCACGCAUGCGCGAUGCCCUGCCUUUCUGUUUGUACUGUAAUUUUAUUUUUUUGUUGUGUAAUUCAGAAAACAUUUAAAUAAUUUACGGAACCAGAUACAAUCUUUCCCCAAA